UGUGCUUCCAUCAUUUAAGUAAAUCUAGUUUUCCACAUGAUUGAACAUUUGGUCCUGAAACUGCAUGAGCAUGAGACAUGCCAUUUGAAACUGAAUUACCUGCCUGCAGACAUGAUUGACAUUAGUGCCAGGUUGCAUUGAUGAGGUCAGGCCGGUAACUGGAGUUGGAUAAGCAGUCAUGCUUCCAUUAGAAUUUUGAAAAGCUACAAACGCCUACAUUUACAAAGGAAGGUCAAUGCAAGAAUGAAAGGCUUGGUUAUUUGGAAAAGUGGAGUUCGAGCAGAUAUAGUAAGACCAAAGAAAGAAGUAUGCCAGAAAGCAAUGUGGGUCAUGUGUUUAUAUUCAGAGGGAUAUUGAUGUCCAAAGGGCCUUUUGGCUUAAGGUUGUCGUGCAAUCACGGGAAAUGGAGAGAAAAGGUUGUGCCUUUGCAAAGACAUUGUGCUGUUUCUGUUCUUGAUUGUCUGAGAUCAGGUUUUCAGGAUGAAGGGUAUUGGACAUUUCAGGAUUCUACUUUACAGGUGGGCUCGUGUAGAUAAAGAACACACAUCAUCAAAUCCUUGAAGUAGAAAUUCAAGGACAAAAUAAAGUAUAGCUUUAUUCAAGG
Molecule: long non-coding RNA, 604 nt
Filed under: Manihot esculenta (cassava)
Lineage: Eukaryota; Viridiplantae; Streptophyta; Magnoliopsida; Malpighiales; Euphorbiaceae
Description: long non-coding RNA (MESC_LNC012360)
Source: RNAcentral